GAUGAACGCUGGCGGCGUGCUUAACACAUGCAAGUCGAACGAUGAAGCCCAGCCUGCUGGGCGGAUUAGUGGCGAACGGGUGAGUAACACGUGAGUAACCUGCCCUUGACUCUGGGAUAAGCCCGGGAAACUGGGUCUAAUGCCGGAUAGGAGCGCCUGUCGCAUGACGGGUGCUGGAAAGAUUUUUCGGUCAUGGAUGGACUCGCGGCCUAUCAGCUUGUUGGUGAGGUAACGGCUCACCAAGGCGACGACGGGUAGCCGGCCUGAGAGGGUGACCGGCCACACUGGGACUGAGACACGGCCCAGACUCCUACGGGAGGCAGCAGUGGGGAAUAUUGCACAAUGGGCGGAAGCCUGAUGCAGCGACGCCGCGUGAGGGAUGACGGCCUUCGGGUUGUAAACC
This 403-nucleotide ribosomal RNA is filed under the name Micrococcus luteus. RNAcentral's name for it is "bacterial SSU rRNA". It matches the Rfam family "Bacterial small subunit ribosomal RNA", at positions 28 to 431 of the family's 1533-position model. Lineage: Bacteria; Bacillati; Actinomycetota; Actinomycetes; Micrococcales; Micrococcaceae. The record is from RNAcentral.